RNAcentral lists this unclassified non-coding RNA (141 nucleotides) under uncultured Mycocentrospora. RNAcentral describes it as "sequence contains ITS1". The record is from RNAcentral. Lineage: Eukaryota; Fungi; Ascomycota; Dothideomycetes; Mycosphaerellales; Mycosphaerellaceae.
UUAAAACAUACUAGGAAAAAACCUAGCUAUGUCUACCCAUGUUUUUUACGCACCUAAAGUUUCCUCGGCGGCUUUGUCCGCCAGUUGGACAACAAUUAAACCCUUGUAGUUGCAGUCAGCGUCAAAUAAACUUAAUAAUUA